GCCACAUAGAAAUGGCUCAGAAAUGAUCCUUUGUCCUUCUUGUUGCUUUUUUUCUUUAUUCCCAAACAUUCUUUUUUCUGUCCUAAACUCUAGGUGACUUUACUUCUUGUCAAGUUUCAUAACCUCUGCAAGCCUCAGUUUGCUCAUCUUAAAAGUGGGUAUAGUAACUGUAAGGACUUACUGGUGGAUUGUGGAGAUUAAUGAAUCAUUUUGAGCUGUUGCAUGCUGAGAGCAGGGAGACUGCAUCUCACCUGUCUUGAUAGGUUUCGUCUUUUCACAGUAAAAAGGCAGUAGUAGGUAAACAUCAUCUUCACCCACUUACUCCUGUGCAGUAUUUUCUCUCACGGUCUCAGCAGUGUGGAAUCAUAGGUAAUCCUGGAUCUUAGCAGGUCCAUGAAUCAGCUCUCUGCAGCCAUGCACACAAACUCUUCAUGUCCUUAGAUAGAGGUGAGAAACAGGUCCCUGGCAUCCCAAAGAACAAAGGAGCAUGGUAUCACAGGGAAAGGUGCUCUGGGCCAGGACUCAGAAUCCAGAUGUGGACUCUCACUGGCCCAGGGUCAGACUCUUUAGCUAGUUGUUCUGGCCUCAUUUUUGUCACUGAGAAACAAUGGGUUAAGCAAGGGGGAAGAAUGGAGUGUGCUUCAUAGGGUUAUUGUGAGAGGUAAGCAGCACAAUGCAUCUGAAAUACUUAGCACAUAGUUGGAACACCAAAUCUAUUAGCUUGUUUUCCUCUUUCCUUGGGAUAGAGCUACAUUUUGUGCAAUAUGCGUCACACUUCCAUUUGCUCUCUGACCAGUAUAAAAAUUAAAAAAAAAUAUAUAUAUAUGUAUAUAUUCACACACAGAUAUAUAUAUUCAUCAAGAGAGACUAAAUAAAGAAGAAAACUAUGCUCACUGGCUAGUAGAAAGAUCCAUCACUACCAAGGAAUAUUUUUUGGUGUAUGUGGGGACAAAAAGACAUUCUGUGGUUCAAUAGGUUAGGUAGGCCUUGCACUGAUAAAAGUAAAUGGGUGUCCAUCCUGGCUAACACGGUGAAACCCCGUCUCUACUAAAAAUACAAAAAAAAUUUAGCCGGGUGUGGUGGUGGGCACCUGUAGUCCCAGCUACUUGGGAGGCUGAGGCAGGAGAAUGGCGUGAACCCAGGAGGCGGAGAUUGCGGUGAGCAGAGAUCACACCACUGCACUCCAGCCUGGGGGACAGAGCAAGACUCUGUCUCAAAAAAAAAAAAAGUAAAUGGGUGUCUUUCCCAUAAGGUAGGUUGGACCCUUAGCAUGAGAUGUGCAUUUCAAAGCAACAAGAAGAA
This 1302-nucleotide long non-coding RNA is filed under the name Pongo abelii (Sumatran orangutan). RNAcentral's name for it is "lincRNA". The record is from RNAcentral. Lineage: Eukaryota; Metazoa; Chordata; Mammalia; Primates; Hominidae.